UACAGAGGUCUCAAGCGUUGUUCGGAAUCACUGGGCGUAAAGGGUGCGUAGGUGGCGUGGUAAGUCAGAUGUGAAAGCCCGGGGCUCAACCCCGGAAUUGCAUCCGAUACUACCAUGCUAGAGUACUGAAGAGGUGACUAGAAUUCUCGGUGUAGCAGUGAAAUGCGUAGAUAUCGAGAGGAAUACCAACGGCGAAGGCAGGUCACUGGGCAGUUACUGACACUGAGGCACGAAGGCCAGGGGAGCAAACGGG
This 253-nucleotide ribosomal RNA is filed under the name uncultured bacterium. RNAcentral's name for it is "partial 16S ribosomal RNA". It matches the Rfam family "Bacterial small subunit ribosomal RNA", at positions 524 to 776 of the family's 1533-position model. The record is from RNAcentral.